This 253-nucleotide ribosomal RNA is filed under the name uncultured bacterium. RNAcentral's name for it is "partial 16S ribosomal RNA". It matches the Rfam family "Bacterial small subunit ribosomal RNA", at positions 524 to 776 of the family's 1533-position model. The record is from RNAcentral.
UACGGAGGGGGCAAGCGUUAUUCGGAAUUAUUGGGCGUAAAGGGCGCGUAGGCGGCUUGGCAAGUGACGGGUGAAACCCCUCGGCUUAACCGAGGAACUGCCCGUUAGACUGCUUCGCUUGAGACCGGGAGAGGUGAGUGGAAUUCCCAGUGUAGCGGUGAAAUGCGUAGAUAUUGGGAGGAACACCAGUGGCGAAGGCGGCUCACUGGACCGGUACUGACGCUGAGGCGCGAAAGCGUGGGGAGCAAACAGG